UACGUAGGGUGCAAGCGUUGUCCGGAUUUAUUGGGCGUAAAGGGCUCGUAGGCGGUCCGUCACGUCGGAAGUGAAAGCCUAGAGCUUAACUCUGGGCCUGCUUUCGAUACGGGCGAACUUGAGUUCGGUAGGGGAGACUGGAAUUCCUGGUGUAGCGGUGGAAUGCGCAGAUAUCAGGAGGAACACCAAUGGCGAAGGCAGGUCUCUGGGCCGAUACUGACGCUGAGGAGCGAAAGCGUGGGGAGCGAACAGG
This 253-nucleotide ribosomal RNA is filed under the name uncultured bacterium. RNAcentral's name for it is "partial 16S ribosomal RNA". It matches the Rfam family "Bacterial small subunit ribosomal RNA", at positions 524 to 776 of the family's 1533-position model. The record is from RNAcentral.